This 305-nucleotide ribosomal RNA is filed under the name uncultured bacterium. RNAcentral describes it as "bacterial SSU rRNA". It matches the Rfam family "Bacterial small subunit ribosomal RNA", at positions 337 to 656 of the family's 1533-position model. The record is from RNAcentral.
ACCUACGGGAGGCAGCAGUGGGGAAUAUUGGGCAAUGGGCGCGAGCCUGACCCAGCAACGCUGCGUGAAGGAAGAAGGCUUUCGGGUUGUAAACUUCUUUUAUGAGGGACGAAACAAAUGACGGUACCCCAUGAAUAAGCCACGGCUAACUACGUGCCAGCAGCCGCGGUAAUACGUAGGUGGCAAGCGUUAUCCGGAUUUACUGGGUGUAAAGGGCGUGUAGGCGGGACUGCAAGUCAGAUGUGAAAAUUAUGGGCUCAACCCAUAACCUGCAUUUGAAACUGUAGUUCUUGAGUGAUGGAGAG